GACGUAGGAUGCGAGCGUUGUCCGGAAUUAUUGGGCGUAAAGAGUUCGUAGGCGGCGUACCAAGUCUGAUGUUAAAGCCCGGGGCUUAACCCCGGAUCGGCAUUGGAUACUGGUAUGCUAGAGUGCAGAAGAGGCAAGGGGAAUUCCCAGUGUAGCGGUGAAAUGCGUAGAUAUUGGGAGGAACACCAGUGGCGUAAGCGCCUUGCUGGGCUGUUACUGACGCUGAGGAACGAAAGCCAGGGGAG
RNAcentral lists this ribosomal RNA (245 nucleotides) under uncultured bacterium. RNAcentral describes it as "partial 16S ribosomal RNA". It matches the Rfam family "Bacterial small subunit ribosomal RNA", at positions 524 to 768 of the family's 1533-position model. The record is from RNAcentral.